UGCCAGCCGCCGCGGUAAUACAGAGAGUGCAAGCGUUAAUCGGAAUCACUGGGCGUAAAGCGCACGUAGGUUGAUGUUAUAGUCGGAUGUGAAAGCCCUGGGCUUAACCUAGGAAUUGCACCCGAUACUGGACGUCUAGAGUAUAGUAGAGGGAAGUGGAAUUUCCGGUGUAGCGGUGAAAUGCGUAGAUAUCGGAAAGAACACCAGUGGCGAAGGCGGCUUCCUGGACUAAUACUGACACUGAGGUGCGAAAGCGUGGGUAGCAAACAGGAUUAGAUA
RNAcentral lists this ribosomal RNA (279 nucleotides) under uncultured bacterium. RNAcentral's name for it is "partial 16S ribosomal RNA". It matches the Rfam family "Bacterial small subunit ribosomal RNA", at positions 506 to 784 of the family's 1533-position model. The record is from RNAcentral.